Molecule: unclassified non-coding RNA, 332 nt
Filed under: soil metagenome
Description: partial contains 5.8S ribosomal RNA, internal transcribed spacer 2, and large subunit ribosomal RNA
Rfam family: 5.8S ribosomal RNA (bases 1-120)
Source: RNAcentral
GAUGAAGAACGUAGCAAAAUGCGAUAAGUAAUGUGAAUUGCAGAAUUCAGUGAAUCAUCGAAUCUUUGAACGCACAUUGCGCCCGCCAGUAUUCUGGCGGGCAUGCCUGUUCGAGCGUCAUUUCAACCCUCAAGCACAGCUUGGUGUUGGGACUCGCGUUAAUUCGCGUUCCCCAAAUUGAUUGGCGGUCACGUCGAGCUUCCAUAGCGUAGUAGUAAAACCCUCGUUACUGGUAAUCGUCGCGGCCACGCCGUUAAACCCCAACUUCUGAAUGUUGACCUCGGAUCAGGUAGGAAUACCCGCUGAACUUAAACAUAUCAAUAAGCGGAGGA